UACCUUUUGGUUCGGAACAACACAGGGAAACUUGUGCUAAUACCGAAUAAGCCCUUACGGGGAAAGAUUUAUCGCCGAAAGAUCGGCCCGCGUCUGAUUAGCUUGUUGGUGAGGUAACGGCUCACCAAGGCGACGAUCAGUAGCUGGUCUGAGAGGAUGAUCAGCCACAUUGGGACUGAGACACGGCCCAAACUCCUACGGGAGGCAGCAGUGGGGAAUAUUGGACAAUGGGCGCAAGCCUGAUCCAGCCAUGCCGCGUGAGUGAUGAAGGCCCUAGGGUUGUAAAGCUCUUUUGUGCGGGAAGAUAAUGACGGUACCGCAAGAAUAAGCCCCGGCUAACUUCGUGCCAGCAGCCGCGGUAAUACNAAGGGGGCUAGCGUUGCUCGGAAUCACUGGGC
RNAcentral lists this ribosomal RNA (398 nucleotides) under Afipia sp. 4LS5. Its description in RNAcentral is "bacterial SSU rRNA". It matches the Rfam family "Bacterial small subunit ribosomal RNA", at positions 127 to 559 of the family's 1533-position model. The record is from RNAcentral. Lineage: Bacteria; Pseudomonadati; Pseudomonadota; Alphaproteobacteria; Hyphomicrobiales; Nitrobacteraceae.